RNAcentral lists this ribosomal RNA (457 nucleotides) under uncultured bacterium. Its description in RNAcentral is "bacterial SSU rRNA". It matches the Rfam family "Bacterial small subunit ribosomal RNA", at positions 340 to 786 of the family's 1533-position model. The record is from RNAcentral.
UACGGGAGGCAGCGGUGGGGAAUAUUGCACAAUGGGCGAAAGCCUGAUGCAGCUAUGCCGCGUGUAUGAAGAGGGCCUUAGGGUUGUAAAGUACUUUCAUCGGGGAGGAAAAAACAAAACUAAUAAUUUUAUUUCUUGACGUUACCCGAAAAAGAAGCACCGGCUAACUCCGUGCCAGCAGCCGCGGUAAUACGGAGGGUGCUAGCGUUAAUCAGAAUUACUGGGCGUAAAGAGCACGUAGGUGGUUUUUUUAAGUCAGAUGUGAAAUCCCUGGGCUUAACCUAGGAACUGCAUUUUGAAACUGAAAUACUAGAGUAUCGUAGAGGGAGGUAGAAUUCUAGGUGUAGCGGUGAAAUGCGUAGAUAUCUGGAGGAAUACCUGUGGCGAAAGCGGCCUCCUAAACGAAUACUGACACUGAGGGUGCGAAAGCGUGGGGAGCAAACAGGGAUUAGAUACC